GGAACGAACGCUGGCGGCGUGCUUAACACAUGCAAGUCGAGCGGUAAGGCCCUUUCGGGGGUACACGAGCGGCGAACGGGUGAGUAACACGUGGGUGACCUGCCCUCAGCUCUGGGAUAAGCCCGGGAAACUGGGUCUAAUACCGGAUAUGACUUCAUGACGCAUGUUGUGGAGUGGAAAGCCUUGUGCGGCUGAGGAUGGGCCCNCGGCCUAUCAGCUUGUUGGUGGGGUGAUGGCCU
Molecule: ribosomal RNA, 239 nt
Filed under: uncultured bacterium
Lineage: Bacteria
Description: partial 16S ribosomal RNA
Rfam family: Bacterial small subunit ribosomal RNA
Source: RNAcentral